ACCCAAGUUGAAGCUUGGUAUGUAAGGCAACAGAACAAAAGAGAGAUUUUUUUUUUCCCCAAUAAAUUUGAACAAGUAAUGUACUGAAAAUAAAGGAAAAGAAAGCUACACAGAACUAGUCAGGUCACAAAAUGCUUAGAUGCAGAAGUAGAGGUGGAUGUCAUUUACUUGGAUUUUCGGAAGGCCUUCAAUAUGACAAACAGGGCUACCAAGUACACCCCUGAAACAUGGAAGAUGCCAAAUUUCAGCCGAUUUUGGAUUUUAAACUUUACUGCAGAACAACAAGGAAGGGGUUUUUUUUGCCUCCCUACCUACCAUCUGACACCUUCAGGGAAGGAAUUCUACCUGAUCAACACAUCAAAUUGCUACUCAACACAGCUCACAAAGACACUCUCAUGGACCCAGAGGGACAGCCUUCCAUCUUCAGUUCCCUCUGUGCAAAAAUGAAGUUUAUUUCCGACCUAUGGGGACUUUUUACCAUCUUGUACCAUCUACACUUUUCCCAGAGCCUGACGAAGGGACUUUGAUUCCCAAAAGCUUGCAGAAAAGGACAAUUUUCUUGCCAUUUUCCAGUUGGUCUAAUAAAAGGUAUCAUUUUGGAACCAGGAGUUCUAGUUUUUUGUAUGUCUUUUUCUCUUAAUACGGAAGAUUGAGUUAUGUCAGUAGAAGUUGUUUUUGGAUCCCAGUUGUUAUUAAGUAAUUGUUUCCUCAGGAUAUCUCAUU
This is a long non-coding RNA of Alligator mississippiensis (American alligator), 723 nucleotides long. RefSeq lists it as uncharacterized. The transcript has 3 exons. NCBI's taxonomy places the organism in Eukaryota, Metazoa, Chordata, Crocodylia, Alligatoridae. The record is from RefSeq and is a predicted model, not a curated record.